RNAcentral lists this long non-coding RNA (226 nucleotides) under Elaeis guineensis (African oil palm). Its description in RNAcentral is "long non-coding RNA (EGUI_LNC057551)". Lineage: Eukaryota; Viridiplantae; Streptophyta; Magnoliopsida; Arecales; Arecaceae. The record is from RNAcentral.
GCAACCCAAUUUUUUUACUUUGUUUUAACUAAUUUUCAAUUUUUUUUAGGAAUAAAGGAUCGCUCUGUCUGGAAGAACCUGUCAAUAAUCUGGUCUGGCUGAAGACUUAAAACUUAGUACUUUCUAGGAGGCAACCUAGUUUUUAAUUUUUGCUUUUACUUUCUUUUACAUUAUGUUUAGGUUAAUCAAGACUUGCUUUGUACGGAUUUGAAGGCAAUAUUGGCUA